This is a long non-coding RNA of Esox lucius (northern pike), 4235 nucleotides long. RefSeq lists it as uncharacterized. Lineage: Eukaryota; Metazoa; Chordata; Actinopteri; Esociformes; Esocidae. The record is from RefSeq and is a predicted model, not a curated record. The transcript has 3 exons.
AUUACAUAAUUGCCUGAUUGCGAUUAUUUGAGCCAGAUCGCAAUUAUUUGUAUUCAAUAUUUUGAUUCCAAAAUCAUUUGUUUCCAAUCUGAACAAGGGAUUUUUACUCCAACGUUAGAAAUGUCUCAACAAAUUGCUUGCGAAUUAUGUCAGUUUCAAUCAGUUAGGAUUUGUAACAUAUGCUCCACAUGACACUCCGGUGCUCCACCUCGCCGGUGUACUAACUACCAUUUGGGGAUUGAUGGCAGCAGCACAUCCUGACGACGCACCUGUUCCCAAUCACCAAUUCAGUUGUUUAUUUCUGUGUUGCACCCACACUGCACCCUACGGUCUGUACCAGAUACCGUGUGGUGCUGUCUUUUGAUAUUCCAUUAAUAUAUACACAAUAUUCUUACUAUCGCCAUUGUUAUUUUAUUUUCCUUCUGCCUCACUUUUACGCACUUGCGACCAGAGCCAUUAGGCAAUAUAGGCGGUCACCCAAUCUUAUGAUGUUCAUAAUAAAUAUUUUAUUAAUAAUGUUACUAAAAGCUCGGGUGAGCACUUUUAGACAAAUCAUUGCGUGGACCUUACUAAACAUGAUACAGUUCACAAAGACGGUAGCUACAAAAAUACCCAGACCCACUACAUACAUUAAAAGGAUAGCUCUAUAGACUAUAGUUCAUACAUGACAAAUUUCAGAAAAAGAUGAUAAAUACAUAAGAAUAGAAUGAAUAAAAUACGAAAACAUAAGAAAUAUACACAGUAGCGCAUCACACACUAAUUUGCAUAAUGCCGCCCGUGAUAUAGUGGGAGACCUCUAGUACCGUAAUUAUCACAGUAUUCACACACACAGACUCCUCCACACUUCUCUCCAAAAUGCUCACUUUUUAGAAACAAGAGACAAUUUUUUUUAAUUUGUGGCGCUCUAAACUUUAGUAAUGCUCAGUUGCUUAGGCCUAUAUUUUAGGCAUUUUGCAUGACAAAAAUGUGCUGUCAAAAAUAAAAUACCAAAUAUUAUAAUCUCUAUGGUAAUAUUGACUUCACAUAUUUGGAUUGCCUCUUGUCUGUCAUAACGUCAAAAAGUCUCAUCAGAGUCGAAGUCAGCUAUGCUUUUUAGUUAAUUGAAUUGAAAUCAGAAUUUUAAUAGAAAUGGCAUCGAAACGCCAUCUGUCUGGAGCUGAGAAGAGGAAGAGGAAAAUGUUUGAGGAAGAGAGAUAAGCUCAAAGUAAAGGUAUGUUCUUCUGACUUCUAUAAAUAAUGCGUUAUUUUUUGCUGUAUUAGUUUUAAUACAAAUAAAUGUAACAAUACAAUGAUCGCAGACAGACAGACAUGGAACAAUUGGGCCACAUUCAGCGUGUUAACAAUUAUCUACCCAUGCAUUUUGUAUAGAUUUUUUACCCUCUGAUGAAGUUAUAGCACGUUGCUUUCUCUUCCUUCAUAAAAUUGUAAUGACAGUUUUUUACUCGAGUGCGGCCCCACAACCCCACGGGCCAGCACUGCUUGCGACACUCGCACUGUCACAGAGUAAUCCGUCCAACCCAAGGCACUUUUUUCAGUUUUCGUGUUUGGUUUUCAGUUUUAGUUUUAGUUACUGUUUGCUCCUUACAACUCGUCCUGGGAUGAGCCAGUGCGGGCAUGAUGGGGAAUCCGGGCUCCGGAGCUAGAAGAUAGACUCUAUGGAGGCACAGAUCGCCGGGUUAGUAACAGCUUUCAGCGACAUGAUGACUCAUCUGGCUGCACGGUCGGGAUGGGAGAGCCCUGUUGAGCCUGCCAGGGCGGUGGCACCUUCCCUGGUCGACCGUGUGAAGUCUAGUUGUGUUCAGAUGAGGGAACUCCGGAGAUCCCUGCCUGAAAAAUCAAACUGCAAACCAGAGGGUUUUCACGGUUUCCUUCUUCAGUGUGAGUUGUACUUCGGGGACCAGCCAGUCUCUGAUUACAACAAGGUAACCGCAAUAAUCUCUCUCCUCACUGGGCGCCCACUCAAAUGGUUAACAGUUCUGGGGAACUGAGGUUGUUUCCCAGAUUCAAUGCGCUAUUCUGCGGCUUCUGUGUCUGAGGCAGUGUAAUAACACAGCCUCGGAGUAAGCCUUCUGCGUCUGAGGCAGUGUAAUAGGAUGGCUUCGGAGUACGCCCAGUCGUUCCAGACGUUGGCGCCAUCCAGCCAGUGGAACGAGACAGCUCUGAGGACUGUUUUCCGUAAGCGUUUGUGGAUUGAGGUCCAAAUCUCCCACGUUCUUGGAUGGAACCGGAGCCAGAAUCACCAGGCUUCCCGCGGAGGAGAGAGAACGCUGGUGUCGUAAGGGCCUUGCCUGUUCUGCUCCUAGACCUAGAUGGUGAGCAGGAAGGGGCGCUGAUUGAUUCCGGGGCCGCAGGAAGCUUCAUUGAUCAGUCCUUAGUCACUGCUCUCCAGUUGCUGUUGCGCCGUCUGAGGUCCUCGAUGCACAUUCAGGCUUUGGACGGUCGUCCGUGGGGACCGGCUGGAUCACCCAUGUGACCUGCCCACUCUCAACGUCAAAGACAUCAAGAGAGACUGGAACUUCUGGUCAUAUUGUUGUCCAUACACAUCCUGGGUCUUCCGUGGCUCCAACAGCACCACCCCAACAUCUAUCGCUACCCGAUGCCACUCGUCUCACCAACCACAGAGCAACUAAGGGGGACAUACGAAGCUGGACCUCUGGAGCACAUACAACGCGAAGGGGGAGAAGUGCGUGUUCCACACAUCCACCGUAUCCUAACACCCAGGGAUACCACAUCGCUCCGGAAGGCGUGAAGAUGGAAGAGCUGGAGGCAGUGAGGUCAUGACCAGUCCUUAAAACCAUCAAAGAACUACAAAUCUUCAACAGGUUUUCCAACUUCUACCGCCGGUUCAUCCAAGGCUUCAGCACCAUUGCAGCAACACUCUCAACCCCAGACAUGCCCUUUUCUUCGAGCGCAUCCAGUUCAACCUGACAUUCUACCCCGAACCAAAGUAUGUCAGGGCGGACGCACUCUAUCGCCUGCACGACCAGGGGGCAGAACUGCCUAAGGACGUGCCCAUCCUACCUGCCUCAUGUGUUGUGGAUCCUGUCUCCUGGGACAUCGACGCUGACAUCCAACACGCAGGGAGAUGGGACCCCGCAACAGCAACAAGACCUACAUACCCUGGAGAGUGUGGGGCUGUUUGGUGAACUGGGUGCACACCGGACCAGCCACCAACCAUCCGGGCAUCAACCAGACCUUGGAGGCGCAAAGAGCAAAGUAUCGGUGGCCUGGAAUGGGGAGGACUGUGCAGCACUACGCCAUGUCAUGCACACAGUCUAAGGCACUGCGAAUAGCUCGAGCAGGGAAACUCCAUCCUCUCCCAGUGCCUGAGCGGCCCUAGUCACACCUGGCGGUGGACUUCCUCACAGACAGCAGAAAGGAAAACUAUCUCUCGCCAUGGUGGUGGACAGGUUCCCCAAAAUGGUCAGGUAAAUCCCACUACCUGGCCUCUCCUCUACUCUCCAGGUCGCUGAGGUGUUCCUCCGGUUCCUCCGGUCUGCAUGGACCGUCCAGGUGAGUGGACACGCUUUCUCCCCUGCGCCAUUCCUCCACAAGUCUGACCCCCUUCUUGGUGGUACCCAGGUUCCAGCCUCCGUUGUGCCCCUGGAUAGGGAGCUCCAGCAACAUCCAAGCUGUGGUGUAGUGGUUCGGGAAGUCAGACAAGGUCUGGUCCACCACCCACAUCCGCCUGCAGGAGGCAGUGCGGCGCCAGAAGGAGGAGGCAGAGGAGCAACACCCCCGAGUACCAUGGGCCCCGGUCAGUGGUUUGUGGUCCGCUGGGGGGAUCCGGCUCUGCAGGGGCAUCUCCACCGCUGGUGGAGGUAGCUGGGGGUCCAGUGUACCCGGUGGAGUCGAUCCUGGACUCCCGGCUGCAGUGGAGCCGGGUCCAGUACCUGGUGGACUGGGGGGUUAUGGCCCUGAGGAACGCAACUGGGUCCGGGCGGUUGACAUCUGCAACCCCUCAAUGACAUCAGACUUCCAUGCUCACCGCCCGGAUCAGCUUGCUCCUCAACCUCCAGGUCAAUUGAGGCGCUGGCGAGUUGCGGCGUCCGGAGUCGCACCUUGGGUGGAUUACUGUGAUUUCUGCUCUGCAUGACAUGGCAGCACCCCUUCAGUAGGUUUAAACAUAGUUUAGAAUAGUUUUGCCCCAAUUCACCAUUAUGUAAUUUCGCAACAUUAUUAUUCAAUAGACAAAUGCUUUUCAGUUGCUUAUUUGUCACAUCAACUCUGAUCAA